GCAUCUUAUAAGCUUAAACUAUCUGUGUGGAACCAAAACAGAGCUCAAGAGUGCCAAAAGAUAUCUUCUUUGCAAGACGCUGCAGACAAAUGGCUUAAGUGUCUGCAAGUUAAUCAUCCGGACUACAAAUUCUUUACCUCUAACAUCACACAAACGAGGUGAAAAAAGUGAAAAGCUGCUUUGGCUCUGGUCUGAUUCAAAGACAACUCAUUUAUCUACUCUACUCUACUUCACGUUAUAAAAAUUCUCUGCUUACACCAAAGUAAAACCAAGUACGUACCGGGUAAAAGACUCUUGCGUGUUUUUCAGGCGAUUUAAGAGUCUCGCUGUUUCAUUACCAGAAGAUGCUUUGUGAAUUGUAGCCUAAGCUUUCAUUUGUUCUUCUUCUGCUGAAACUAGUCUUUUGCUUUUUCCAUAUAUAGUGAUGAAAUUUGUUGAGGAGUGAUAUAAUGUUUAGAUGCAAAUCUUUUUUUUGUGAUACAAUUUGAUUGCUGAACUGGAACACAGCUUGGCUUAUAUAUCAAUUUGUUGGAGGCUUCUAGCUUUGAUCAGUCCGAUGAGAGGAAAAAGUACUUUGAUAUCCUGAAUAUUCAAAUUAAGAUCCCUCAAGUACAUCCGAUUACUGCAUAUACUCAUAAAUUACAAUCUAUUUUCAAAUGGGAUGUUCACUGUAUAGUCUGGCUACCGUUGGGCUAUUACCAAAUGGAGACAUAACUGAAAGACUGCCUUCACUAAGUUCUAACCCGGAAACUGAAAGUAAUCCCUAUGUUCAAACACUCCUUGCUACAAAAGAUAAUCUUCUAAGGAGAGGAACACUCAUGUCAAUCUACUGUCUUCCACAUGUUGUCGAAAAGCUGAAAGUUCUAACUAUUUCUUCUUUACCUGUCCUCAUGCAGUCAUAUGAUAAGGCGGCAUGGAGACGAGCUAAUACUCCAUCUCACGAAGUUUUAAAUCCUGAAUUUUUAUUUAUUGGAAAUCUGAAGAAGAUGAUCAAGUUGUAUCCCUUUAGGAUAACACAGGGCAUAACUCUGUUAAUGUGUAUGAAUAAUCCAAAUUGUAUCCCUUUGGGAUUAUAUGGAUAUUAUGGAAAUCUUGUAAAAAAUUUGUUGUUGAUUUGAUUACAUAAAACUAGUAUUGGUUUUGAUGUAUUUUUUUGUAUAUUUGUUGAUACAAUAAAUGGUUACAUAGAACACAACACCCAAAUAUAUCCCAAAGUAAGGUUUUAUGUACAAUUAUUGAUAUAUACACUAAAUCAUAUGAACACUAUAGUCAACAUAUAACCGUUUAUAAGUUCAUAUAAAACCUUACAGUAAAUGGAUAUAUUUGGGUUUUGAUAUAAUAUAUUAGCCGUAAAAUCAUAUAACCAUUUAACUGAGCCAUUAGUAUAGUUUUGAUGUAAUUUUUAUUUUUGUUCAUAUAUACAUUUUUUUUUUUUUUGCAAGAAGAGAAGAACAAAAUGUCGUUCUCUCCCUCUCGAUCUCCCCGGUGUGUUACGAAGAUCUGUCGGUGAUAAUACGUUACGAUUAUUCUUAAACCUGCUAGUACACACACUAACAUGUAUUGACUGCAAAUUAGUGGGAAUUAAUGCUAAUUUAAAUUGAGUUCAUUAAAAAUUACUCAAUUCUAUUAUUUUUUUAUUAUUAUUCUACCCCCCAAUAAUGUUUAUUCGCAUAAAAAAGGCUGUCAUUUUGGCGUUAAAUCUUUUCCUACCUUAUUUUGCUUAUUUAUUCUUGGUAGAAAAUUAUUUUAUUCUAUUAAAAAAAUAUAAUAACUCGUCUUUUGUCCACUAUCAUUUAUACUCUUCUUCCAAUCAAAACAAAAAGAAAAACUUCUCUUCUCUGUGGUCAAUAACUCUUCUCCUUCUCUCUUCUUCUUCUUUCUUCUGCUUUUUUCUCAAUACCAGGUUGCACUUGGCGCGAAAAGUUCUUCUCUUUUCGGACAGCUUUUCUUUCAGUUCCGUUUUCAGACACCUUUCUGUUUCGUUACAAAUAAAAGAUGCCAGUAAGUACGUGUUCUUAUUAUGUUUUUAGUUUCUUAAGUCUCUUGUCCUUCUUCCCCUGUCUUGUCCGAGAUUGAAUUAUAGUUGAAGCUUAUAAGUCAAACCCAUCAAUCGUUUUGCUUUCUCGGUUUCUGGGUCUCCGUCAUUUCCAUGGAUCCGUUAGAAAAAUUAAUACUUUCUUGGAUCUGAACUUUGGAAUCAGACUGUCCUGAUAUGAUCUUUUUUUGUAUGUUUUUUGGUAGGUGGCAUUAGUUUUGCUGCUGGCAUUGAGCUGUCUGAUUCAGAGCCACGGCGCCGGAAACGUAUGCGAUCUUGGUCGGAGACCAAACACGAGACCUCACAGUGUCUCGAUUCUGGAGUUUGGUGCUGUUGGAGAUGGGAAAACGUUGAACACAAUUGCGUUUCAGAACGCUGUCUUCUAUCUUAAGUCUUUCGCUGACAAAGGUGGUGCUCAGCUUUAUGUUCCUCCCGGACGGUGGCUUACCGGAAGUUUCAAUCUCACCAGUCAUCUCACUCUCUUUCUUGAGAAAGACGCUGUCAUUCUCGCCUCCCAGGUUUGCCUCCUUCUCCUCCUCUCUUACUCUAAAGCUUUGAUCAUUCUAAAGAGUAAGACCAGAGUUUGUUUGGCUUCAUUGUUUCAUAGAGGUUCUUGAUUAGAUGCAAAGAUUAAUGUCUUUUUCUGAUGGUUUGAAUCAAAGUCUGUUUCUAUUGGUCAAUGCGCUUAAAAAAUCAGUCUAGACGCCCGCCUAAUUAAUUAAUAAGAACAUUUAUGAAUUUUUGUUUCUCAUUUUGUCUCUCUGUAUAAAGGAUCCAUUGCACUGGCAAGUUGUGGAUCCGUUACCAUCAUAUGGACGAGGCAUUGAUCUACCUGGGAGGAGAUACAUGAGUUUAAUAAACGGCUAUAUGCUGCAUGAUGUAGUAGUGACAGGUUACACAUGAUUUGAACCUUUCACUUCAUUUUGUCUGUUUGUUAAUGCUAAAUAAAAAAACUCACCGUUACAUUUCCAUGUUCCUCGGUUUUUUUUAGGUGAUAACGGUACUAUAGAUGGACAAGGCCUGCUUUGGUGGGAUCGGUUUAAUUCUCACUCUUUGAAGCACAGUAGACCGCAUCUCGUCGAGUUUGUCUCUUCUGAAGAUGUCACUGUCUCAAAUCUUACCUUCUUGAAUGCUCCUGCUUAUACUAUUCACUCGGUUUAUUGUAGGUAAAAAUAGUUUCUGAAACUCCCGUUCUUAUCAAUAUAGCUCCUUUUGGUUUAGUAGAAUCUUGACUCUGGUCACUCAUAUUGUGCAGCCAUGUGUACAUAAACAAAGUAACAGCUACUACUUCUCCAGAAUCUCCUUACACCAUCGGCAUUGUCCCAGGUUAGUUGUUUUGUGUUUCUUGUUGAUUCUGGAAGUGACUUAAAUCUUGGUGCACUGGUAAAAGGCCACAUACCAAUAAAAUACCACAUUCGUUUAAUACAUUUUAGGAUUAGGAAAAAUAUUUUUUAUUGAGAUAAUGUUUCUAAAGGGAAAAAGAAUAUUGGGUUUUAAGUCUAAUAUAAAAUGGAUCUAAGAGAUUGUAAGUUAUUCAAUAUACAAACUCUAAACGGAUAUUUGACUCAAUUAUAUUUAUGCUUUCUUAAGUUUCUUUGCUUUUUUUUUGUUCACAAGAUUUUAGCCUAGUGAAAAUGAUAUGGCUUCACUUGUUUGAGUUUGCAUUUCCAAAUCAAACCUUCUUUUUUUCUUCUUUCAGAUUCUUCUGAUAAUGUGUGCAUCCAAGAUUCUAGCAUCAGCAUGGGCUAUGAUGCCAUUUCUUUAAAAAGUGGUUGGGACGAAUACGGUAUAUCCUAUGCAAGACCUACUGCAAAUGUCCAGAUACAAAACGUUUACCUCAAGGCAGCUUCUGGUGCAUCCAUUUCCUUUGGAAGUGAAAUGUCUGGUGGCAUAUCUGACGUCGUGGUCCGAGAUGCUCACAUACACAACUCGUUAUCGGGGGUUGCCUUUAGAACAACUAAAGGAAGAGGCGGCUACAUGAAAGAGAUUGAUGUUUCGAACAUCAACAUGGUCAAUGUUGGUGUUGCGUUUCUAGCAAAUGGUAGCUUUGGAACUCACCCGGAUUCGGGUUUUGAUGCAAAUGCUUACCCGCUAGUGAGUCACAUCAUGUUACAUGACAUUGUUGGAGAGAACAUAAGCAUAGCUGGAGAGUUCUUUGGAACUAAAGAGUCUCCUUUCACUUCGGUUUUGCUAUCUAAUAUCUCUCUGUCGAUGAACUCGGAUUCUCCUGAUGAUGAUGAUUCUUGGCAAUGCUCGUAUGUGGAGGGUUCUUCAGAAUCUGUUGUCCCUGAACCGUGCUUUGAGCUGAAGGGUUUUGAAAGUUCAUACGGCAGAGCUGUGGCCUUGUGAGAAACAAAAAUUAAUGUCUCCAUGAUUCAUAUUUGUUUUGUUGAAGUUAGCAGAAAGGUCAGAUUCUUUUUUCCUUAAAUAAACCCCAAUGUCAGAUGUUAUUAUUUGCAGUUUGUGAGAUUCUUAUAUCUUGUACAGGUUCAUUUGUUCAUUCAUAUGUAACCGAAAAAAGUUUUGUUCAGUGGAUAUUCUUCAUGUUGCUUAACGAAAGAUGGUUAAGUCAUCAGUUUCUUUUCUGUUUUCAGACUUUUGUUUGGGAUGUAUUCAAUUUAAUAUUUAGAGUUUGAAUUAAUUUAUUUUUAAUGAGUUUUUGCGAGAUUUUAGAUGAACUACAAAAUAUUAAGAUUUUAUUUAAAACACUCCAAAUCUCCUAUAAAACCAUAUAAUUUGAAUAAUUAUAUUUUAACUAAAAUUUGUUACUUACAUAUUUUUAAUAACAAUAAAAUUUAUAAUAUAUUACAAAAUAUAAAUUCAAUAAUCACCCAUUACUCACAUAUUUUCAAUAACAAUAAAAUUUAUAAUGUAUUGCAAAAUAUAAAUUCAAUAAUAAUUGAUUUUAAAUUUUUUUUUUUCAAAUUAUGUUUAAACAAUAGUGUAAUUGACAGACAAAUCACUCCAAAGUCUAAACUGAAUAUAUCCCCUUUGUGCUUCUCCUAACUGUGAAGAGGCUUUAUGGCCCAAUAAAUAUGUCAGCCUGUUGAUAAAGCUCGGCCCAGUAACGAAAAGCUGCUUCGUGACCCAGUAGUGAAGGAGCGGCUUGCGUCAAGAGACGCUACCGAACGCAACCCUUCACUUCCCCCACCCACCCACACCAUCUUCCUCUUUUCCCCCACAUCUGUAACAUUUAUUUAUUUUCUACUGUCUCAACUAAAUUUUUCUAUUUAAGUAAAAAUAAUACUAAUCGAGUGUCUGCCACUAGAAAUUGAAAUAAAAUUCCCCCAUGAUUUUAUUUUUCUUCUCCAUUUUUUUCGUACACGAUAAAUAAUAUAAAUCGAAAUUCCCAAUCCUUCAUCUUCCCAAUCUCUCUAAAACCCUAGACUCACUUUCAACUCAAGCAGACAGGACUUUAAAACCACAUCCACUCUUGUUUUUAUUACCGGAGAAGAAAUAAUUUCAACUUUUAUUUUUGGUUGUGUGUUUUUGUUUUUCUCUUUGGAGCGAUCGAUUCUGUAACAAUCACAAUGUCGAGUUCAAUCGCAAGAACAGCGAUUCGUGGUGAGAAUCGGUUCUACAACCCGCCGGCCAUGAGGAGGAUGCAGCAAGAGGCGCAAUUGCAACAGCAGUUAAGGGAGAAGCAAGGAGAAGUGGAUAACGAGCCUAAGGCAAAGCUGCCGCAGCCUCUUCGUACCCGGAAAAGUCAUGGGAAGAGCAAGAAUCGGGUUGUUUCCUCCGGGUCUGAAGUAUCCGUAGCCUCAUCUGAAUCUUCCGGGUCGGGUCGGCUUCACAGAGAAGCCUCUAACUUGGAUCGGUUCUUGGAACACACCACUCCCUUUGUCCCUGCCAUGGUAAGACGAUUUCAAUAUCUUAAAAGUUAGAAAUGUCAUUUAGUACUCAUCGAACCAGAGAGUUUAUGUGUUUUGUCUUAACGAAGGUCAUUAGAGAUUUAAAUUCUGGAAGUAAAAGUUAGAAAUGUCGUUUAUCUCUGAUUUGAACCAGAUAGAUUAUCCUGUUUUGUCUUAAUAUUAGUGGAAACUUAGUAUGUAUAGCUAUUUCAUUUUGCUUUUAAACCUUUUUUAUAUUGUUGAUUUGAAUUGGGAUGACUCAAGAGUUUUUUCAGUGUAGACCCAUCUUUUGAUCAUUGCUAACUGCUGCACUUAUGUUUUCCAGAGGAGCAAAAGGGAACUUAAAACCGGUGAAUCGGAGAGCAGUUCAUAUUUUGUACUUGAGGAUCUGUGGGAGUCGUUUGCGGAGUGGAGUGCGUACGGUGCUGGUGUUCCUCUCCAUAUGGAUGGGAGUGACUCCACUGUGCAGUACUAUGUGCCUUAUUUAUCCGGCAUUCAGUUGUAUGUAGUAGACCCAUCUAACAAGGCCAGGUUAAUUUUUCAACAACUCUUUCUGUUUUUUUUUUUUUUUCAUUUCACAGUUUUGAUUAUUUGACUUUUGUUACAGAAAUAAAGUUGAAGAUAAUGAAGGAAGCAGCCACAGUAAUAGUGGUAAGACUCUGCAGAGUGAGGUGGACUUGAGUGUCAGCGAACUGAAUAGAGUCAGUCUUGGAGAUCAAUCUGGAGAGACUGAGAUCACCAAUCCUCAAGGACGGUUACUAUUUGAGUAUUUGGAGUAUGAACCUCCCUUUGGCCGUGAACCUCUCGCUAACAAAGUAAAAUUCCCUCCUAAACAAAAGUCAUCUACUUCCUUUAUUUUGAUUUUUUUUCAUAUUUUCACAUUUUAAGUAAGUUUAUCAUAACACCAGGUAUCAGAUCUAGCUUCAAGAUUCCCUGAGCUAAUGACAUACAAGAGCUGUGACCUUUCUCCAUCAAGUUGGGUCUCUGUGUCAUGGUAUGUUUCCUUUGAACCCCUCUCUUGAUUUCUUGAGAUCUUUGUUAUAUGAUGAUCUUUUACUUCAUUGGUGUGUAGGUAUCCAAUAUACAGAAUACCAGUUGGUGCAACACUACAGAACCUUGAUGCAUGCUUUCUAACUUUCCACUCUCUCUCAACACCCCCACCUCCUCUAAGUAAGUAACCUUAUGCCUCUAAUGUUAACAUUACAUCGCCUAUUUGUCUUACAAGGUCUUGUGUAUGUAUAGAAGCAGGUUCCGUGGAACCAUCCGUUAAGCUACCGUUGCCUACUUUUGGACUCGCAUCUUAUAAGCUUAAACUAUCUGUGUGGAACCAAAACAGAGCUCAAGAGUGCCAAAAGAUAUCUUCUUUGCAAGACGCUGCAGACAAAUGGCUUAAGUGUCUGCAAGUUAAUCAUCCGGACUACAAAUUCUUUACCUCUAACAUCACACAAACGAGGUGAAAAAAGUGAAAAGCUGCUUUGGCUCUGGUCUGAUUCAAAGACAACUCAUUUAUCUACUCUACUCUACUUCACGUUAUAAAAAUUCUCUGCUUACACCAAAGUAAAACCAAGUACGUACCGGG
RNAcentral lists this long non-coding RNA (7465 nucleotides) under Brassica napus (rape). Its description in RNAcentral is "long non-coding RNA (BNAP_LNC001797)". The record is from RNAcentral. Lineage: Eukaryota; Viridiplantae; Streptophyta; Magnoliopsida; Brassicales; Brassicaceae.